Molecule: ribosomal RNA, 163 nt
Filed under: uncultured bacterium
Lineage: Bacteria
Description: partial 16S ribosomal RNA
Rfam family: Bacterial small subunit ribosomal RNA
Source: RNAcentral
UUAGGAAUAUUCGUCAAUGGGGGAAACCCUGAACGAGCAAUGCCGCGUGAAGGAAGAAGGUCCUCUGGAUUGUAAACUUCUGUUGUAAGGGAAAAACGACUAAAUUAGGAAAUGAGUUUAGAGUGAUGGUACCUUACGAGAAAGCUCCGGCUAACUACGUGCC